CACUGGGCAGAGAGCAGACCUGCUGCAGAGCUUUGCUAUUUUUACUUUUCUGUGAGGGGAUCUCAGGUUACAAAUUAUAUACCGAUGAGGUUUGGCUGGCUUUGACUUAAGUGGAUACAGUUGGAAUCCAGAUGCUACCCUCUACUUGGUACCAAACAACAUAGCCACACGAACUAUUUCUGCAGUGUAAACUGUGAGCCAAGUCCUUCAGCUGCGACCUGAGAAAAUUGUGAGGAAUUCUCCAUUGGUAUGUGCUGUCAUCAUUAGUGGCAAAACAAGAGCCAAAAAACAAAGAAUAUCUUCAGCUUCAAAGUGGGAAGUCAAAAUGUCCCAUUAAAGUGACAACCUUUCCUUUUAAGAUAACCCUAAAUGUUAUUAUGAAGUUACCUAAAUAGUAACACUUUCUUUGCAGCCACUAUUGAAUAACAAUUUUCCUUUAUUGAUGUUUUGACAUAAAGAGGACAGAUUAGGGGCUAAUAUACUGGACAAAUGACUACUUUCCCAAUUAAAAUAUGCUGGUAUGUACAAUUUUUCAGAUAUCUGGUUGCCUGUAGUGUCUUUCAGCAAACCACAUCCUGAGUGGGGAUCUAGCUAGGUGAUGAAUAUUAAGUCCCCAUCUACAGC
Molecule: long non-coding RNA, 624 nt
Organism: Heterocephalus glaber (naked mole-rat)
Lineage: Eukaryota; Metazoa; Chordata; Mammalia; Rodentia; Bathyergidae
Source: RefSeq, a predicted model, not a curated record